Molecule: ribosomal RNA, 465 nt
Filed under: uncultured bacterium
Lineage: Bacteria
Description: partial 16S ribosomal RNA
Rfam family: Bacterial small subunit ribosomal RNA
Source: RNAcentral
CCUACGGGUGGCAGCAGUGGGGAAUUUUGCGCAAUGCUCGUAAGAGUGACGCAGCGACGCCGCGUGAAUGACGAAGGCCUUCGGGUCGUAAAGUUCUUUCGACAGGGAAGAAAAUGCCUAUAAGUAACUGUGUAUGUAUUGACGGUACCUGUAUAAGCAGCCCCGGCUAACUCCGUGCCAGCAGCCGCGGUAAUACGGAGGGGGCGAGCGUUGUUCGGAGUGACUGGGCGUAAAGAGCACGUAGGCGGUGUUGUAAGUCAUUAGUCAAAGACUAGAGCUCAACUUUAGUAAGGCUAGUGAUACUAUAAUACUAGAGUAUCAGAGAGGAUUGCAGAAUUCCUGGUGUAGCGGUAAAAUGCGUAGAUAUAUGGAAGAACACCAGUGGCGAAGGCGGCCGCCUGGCCUGUUACUGACGCUGAGGCACGAAAGCGUGGGGAGCAAAUAGGAUUAGAUACCCUGGUAGUC